Molecule: unclassified non-coding RNA, 232 nt
Filed under: uncultured fungus
Lineage: Eukaryota; Fungi
Description: sequence contains ITS1, 5.8S rRNA gene
Rfam family: 5.8S ribosomal RNA (bases 184-232)
Source: RNAcentral
UUUCCGUAGGUGAACCUGCGGAAGGAUCAUUACACGUUCUAGGGCGCUUCGGCGCGCUUUAUACACACACCCUCUGCCUAUGCGUACCUUUUUAGCUUCCUCGGCGGGCUCGCCCGCCGCCAGGAAUCCUCCAAACCCCUUGCAUUAUACGCGAAAACUUCUGAUACAAACCUAAAUUAUCACAACUUUCAACAAUGGAUCUCUUGGUUCUGGCAUCGAUGAAGAACGCAGC